RNAcentral lists this transfer RNA (65 nucleotides) under Dipodomys ordii (Ord's kangaroo rat). It matches the Rfam family "tRNA". From Rfam's summary of the family: Transfer RNA (tRNA) molecules are approximately 80 nucleotides in length. Their secondary structure includes four short double-helical elements and three loops (D, anti-codon, and T loops). Further hydrogen bonds mediate the characteristic L-shaped molecular structure. tRNAs have two regions of fundamental functional importance: the anti-codon, which is responsible for specific mRNA codon recognition, and the 3' end, to which the tRNAs corresponding amino acid is attached (by aminoacyl-tRNA synthetases). tRNAs cope with the degeneracy of the genetic code in two manners: having more than one tRNA (with a specific anti-codon) for a particular amino acid; and 'wobble' base-pairing, i.e. permitting non-standard base-pairing at the 3rd anti-codon position. Lineage: Eukaryota; Metazoa; Chordata; Mammalia; Rodentia; Heteromyidae. The record is from Rfam by way of RNAcentral.
GGUGGCUUAGUGAUAGAGCUCUUGCCUUGCAUGCAUGAGGCUCUGGGUUCAAUUCCUCAGCACCA